GCAUAUCAAUAAGCGGAGGAAAAGAAACCAACAGGGAUUGCCUCAGUAACGGCGAGUGAAGCGGCAAAAGCUCAAAUUUGAAAUCUAGCACCUUCGGUGUUCGAGUUGUAAUUUGAAGAUGGUAACCUUGGGUUUGGCUCUUGUCUAUGUUCCUUGGAACAGGACGUCAUAGAGGGUGAGAAUCCCGUCUGAUGAGAUGCCCAUUCCUAUGUAAGGUGCUAUCGAAGAGUCGAGUUGUUUGGGAAUGCAGCUCUAAGUGGGUGGUAAAUUCCAUCUAAAGCUAAAUAUUGGCGAGAGACCGAUAGCGAACAAGUACAGUGAUGGAAAGAUGAAAAGAACUUUGAAAAGAGAGUGAAAAAGAACGUGAAAUUGUUGAAAGGGAAGGGCAUUAGAUCAGACUUGGUGUUUUACGAUUAUCUUCUCUUCUUGAGUUGUGCACUCGUAUUUCACUGGGCCAGCAUCGAUUCGGAUGGCAAGAUAAUGGCAGUUGAAUGUGGCUUCACUUCGGUGGAGUGUUAUAGCUUCUGCUGAUAUUGCCUGUCUGGAUCGAGGGCUGCGUCUUUUGACUAGGAUGCUGGCGUAAUGAUCUAAUGCCGCCCGUCUUGAAACACGGACC
This 616-nucleotide ribosomal RNA is filed under the name uncultured fungus. RNAcentral's name for it is "eukaryotic LSU rRNA". It matches the Rfam family "Eukaryotic large subunit ribosomal RNA", at positions 38 to 667 of the family's 3401-position model. Lineage: Eukaryota; Fungi. The record is from RNAcentral.